Molecule: ribosomal RNA, 506 nt
Filed under: uncultured bacterium
Lineage: Bacteria
Description: partial 16S ribosomal RNA
Rfam family: Bacterial small subunit ribosomal RNA
Source: RNAcentral
GAUGAACGCUAGCUACAGGCUUAACACAUGCAAGUCGAGGGGUAACGAGAGGAAAGCUUGCUUUCCUUGUCGACGACCGGCGCACGGGUGAGUAACGCGUAUCCAACCUGCCCCCAACUAGGGAAUAACCUUGCGAAAGUAAGACUAAUACCCUAUAAUUUCCUCAGAUGUCAUCUGACGAGGAAUAAAGAUUUAUCGGUUGUGGAUGGGGAUGCGUCUGAUUAGCUUGUUGGCGGGGUAACGGCCCACCAAGGCAACGAUCAGUAGGGGUUCUGACAGGAAGGUCCCCCACAUUGGAACUGGGACACGGUCCAAACUCCUACGGGAGGCAGCAGUGAGGAAUAUUGGUCAAUGGGCGGAAGCCUGAACCAGCCAAGUAGCGUGCAGGAUGACGGCCCUAUGGGUUGUAAACUGCUUUUAUACAGGAAUAAAGUUAGCCACGUGUGGUUAUUUGUAGGUACUGUAUGAAUAAGGACCGGCUAAUUCCGUGCCAGCCGCCGCAGUAA